GUGUCAAUGCCAUUUUCUUGCUUGUUUCAGGGAUAUCAUUGCUAUUUGGAGCAAAGCAAGCAGGACGGACAACAGUGAGGAAGUCCCAAAUUCUCACGGUGGCUCCACACAAACUACAAUCCAAUAAAGGCGACCUAGAUUCACCUUUAGACCUGGGACCCACAGCUUCGUUCUUACUAUGAACUUUUUUCUUUGAAGAAGGCAAUACAUUUUCUCCAUGGCCAAAAUCUUGCAGAGAAGUGUGAUAUUUUGUGGGACCAAUGGAGUAUCCACUCCUAGCUGAUUGAGCAGAAUGUUCUUCGCAGUCUUGGACAUUUGGAAGCCAUCUUGGCUCCCAUCCGCACAGGCUUAUCAACUUAUUAGCACGAGAGUAUACAAGGAAGACAUCUUCUGUGUUGGUUUCAGUUCCUGACAUAAUCUCUAACCUAAAGAUAGGUUCCAUCCCACCAAAAGCCUGUGACUGAGCUAGAAGGCGAUCAAUUUCUGGACUUCGAGAGACUUUGAUGUGCUCAAUUGCAGAUGCAGCCACUAUUGGAAGUGAAGGAAACUGAAGCAAUCCAUCACAUCGAUCCUUAUAACCACCAAUUAAGGCUGAUGGUGGUGUAGGAGGGAACUGGACCAAGCUUUCUGCACAGCUGUUUCCUCGCCAAGGGCAAGUGGCCUUGUGCCCUUCAUCAAGUUUCUUUGCAAAUUCUUCCCCCGCGAUAUCAGCUUCACCAGAGGUCCAUGUUGCAGAAGAAACGAAUCUCAGAUUAGCACCACAAGCUUCACACUCAAUCGUAUCAGCAUCCACAUUCACCCAGCCUCUUCUAGCACAAGCCAGUGAGCUUGAAGCCUUUGGCUUCCCAAACCAGUUUGUGGGUUGGAAAGUGGACAGACGCCUCAAUAGAUCACCCCUUUCCCAUGGUCUACAUGAAGGUUGUGAUGAUCCUAGUGCAGAACCACCAGCACUAUUGCUAACUGAAGUCCACAUGGGCUGUGAACCAAUACGGGAAAGUGAAGCUGCUUUUGAACCCUGUGCUUGUGCAAACCAAUCUGUGCCCCCAGCAUUUGUUGGAACUGCUGGAGAUGAUGCCCCUACGGAACUAGCAGCAGGUGUAGGGAUAGGGGGAGGAGACGAUGAUUUGGGCGGCAAUUGAGGAUCAUGGGAAGAGCUUAUAGCUUCUUCCUUCAUGAUUUUUCACCUUCUACUGUGUGAAAAUGCGUGUAUAAUGGUGUGGGUUUUCUCUCUUUCGGUGAUGGUGUUGAGAGCUAUAC
This 1257-nucleotide unclassified non-coding RNA is filed under the name Hevea brasiliensis (rubber tree). Lineage: Eukaryota; Viridiplantae; Streptophyta; Magnoliopsida; Malpighiales; Euphorbiaceae. The record is from RNAcentral.